GCGCCGGUAGCUCAGCUGGAUAGAGUGUCUGACUACGAAUCAGAAGGUCGGGAGUUCGAGUCUCUUCCAGCGCGCCA
Molecule: transfer RNA, 77 nt
Filed under: Oscillospiraceae bacterium
Lineage: Bacteria; Bacillati; Bacillota; Clostridia; Eubacteriales; Oscillospiraceae
Description: tRNA-Arg
Rfam family: tRNA
About the family: Transfer RNA (tRNA) molecules are approximately 80 nucleotides in length. Their secondary structure includes four short double-helical elements and three loops (D, anti-codon, and T loops).
Source: RNAcentral